This 253-nucleotide ribosomal RNA is filed under the name uncultured bacterium. RNAcentral describes it as "partial 16S ribosomal RNA". It matches the Rfam family "Bacterial small subunit ribosomal RNA", at positions 524 to 776 of the family's 1533-position model. The record is from RNAcentral.
UACGUAGGUGGCAAGCGUUGUCCGGAAUUAUUGGGCGUAAAGCGCGCGCAGGCGGUUUCUUAAGUCUGAUGUGAAAGCCCCCGGCUCAACCGGGGAGGGUCAUUGGAAACUGGGAAACUUGAGUGCGGAAGAGGAAAGUGGAAUUCCAAGUGUAGCGGUGAAAUGCGUAGAGAUUUGGAGGAACACCAGUGGCGAAGGCGACUUUCUGGUCUGUAACUGACGCUGAGGCGCGAAAGCGUGGGGAGCAAACAGG